This is a long non-coding RNA of Cornus florida, 860 nucleotides long. RefSeq lists it as uncharacterized. NCBI's taxonomy places the organism in Eukaryota, Viridiplantae, Streptophyta, Magnoliopsida, Cornales, Cornaceae. The transcript has 2 exons. The record is from RefSeq and is a predicted model, not a curated record.
CUACAUUCUCUCACUAAAACUCAUUUUCGCUCUAUAAACUUAAAUUUUCAAGGCCAUUUUCAUCUUUUUUUUCUAUUGGAUUUGGACCUUGCCAUAGAAAACAAAACUUACAAGCUCGACGAGGGCUUCGAAUUGAGCGGAGUCGAUCUUCAAUUGGAGCACUUUGGGUUUUUGAAUUCUUGGGCUGAUUUGGGGCUUUUUUUUCUUUGAAUUGAAGUGACUUCUUUGAUUUUGGUUUAAUUGCCAAAAAGAAAUAAAAAUAAGGUUUUAAGGGUUUUUGAAGAACAAGUUAUAUCGGGCCUAAAUAUCAAGUGGUUUUCAAGAAGAGAUAGCCCAAAUAUGCAACUGCAAAAGAGAAGAAAAAAGCCAAGUAUCAUCACUUCGCGUCCGAACGUCAGCUCUCGCGUCCGGACGCCAUUUAGUAGACCUCGCGUCCAAAUGCCAUGCUUCGCAUCCGAACGCCAGCCUAUGGGCCCCCAUUUUGAAUAAGUCAAAGUUUGUUCCCUUUUAAGUGGGACUUUGAAUUUUGACGAGUUUGGUUGUUUUGAAACUCAUUUUUUGGAUUAAGAGGGGGCAAAAACUUAAAUUUAAUUAAUUAGUUUUGGAUUCUAAAAAGAUAUUGAGAGAGAGAUGAUUUUCCUUAAGGUUUUUCUAUACUAGUUUUUGCAACAAUGGGGCGGUAAGGAAAAUCUUUCUCUUCUUCAAUCAUUGAAGUUGCUACUAUGUCCAUGAGGAACUAACUCCCUUCCUAGGGAUUUGAUGUAACCUAGACCAAGUAAAUAUGUUGUAAUUGCUAUUUCAAUUUGGAAAUUCAUCUUGUAUAUAUUUGAUUUCAUAAAUUAGAAAUUGUUUACAUUGAA